GACGAACACUGGCGGCGUGCUUAACACAUGCAAGUCGAGCGGUAAGGCCCCUUCGGGGGUACACGAGCGGCGAACGGGUGAGUAACACGUGAGCAAUCUGCCCAUCACAUCGGGAUAACUCCGGGAAACCGAAGCUAAUACCGAAUACGACCACCUCCGGCAUCGGAUGGUGGUGGAAAGUUCCGGCGGUGAUGGAUGAGCUCGCGGCCUAUCAGCUUGUUGGUGGGGUAACGGCCCACCAAGGCUUCGACGGGUAGCCGGCCUGAGAGGGUGACCGGCCACACUGGGACUGAGACACGGCCCAGACUCCUACGGGAGGCAGCAGUGGGGAAUAUUGGACAAUGGGCGAAAGCCUGAUCCAGCAACGCCGCGUGAGGGAUGACGGCCUUCGGGUUGUAAACCUCUUUCAGCAGGGACGAAGCGCAAGUGACGGUACCUGCAGAAGAAGCACCGGCCAACUACGUG
Molecule: ribosomal RNA, 465 nt
Filed under: uncultured bacterium
Lineage: Bacteria
Description: partial 16S ribosomal RNA
Rfam family: Bacterial small subunit ribosomal RNA
Source: RNAcentral